This is a small nucleolar RNA of Ficedula albicollis (Collared flycatcher), 74 nucleotides long. Lineage: Eukaryota; Metazoa; Chordata; Aves; Passeriformes; Muscicapidae. The record is from Ensembl.
AGCCAGUGAUGAAAUUGAUUCUGCCAAAUGAGUUACUGUGAUAUUACCCUUUCCGUUCAUUUCUCUCUGAGGUU